This 395-nucleotide long non-coding RNA is filed under the name Mytilus galloprovincialis (Mediterranean mussel). The record is from RNAcentral. Lineage: Eukaryota; Metazoa; Mollusca; Bivalvia; Mytilida; Mytilidae.
AAUUUUCCUAAAUUUAAACUGAGAGAUGUAUAAAACAAAAUAAAAUGAAAUUUUUAAUGCAUACUAUUAUGUUUAAUCAUUUUAAGGUUGACACUCUGAAUGUCCACCAAUUUACAUACUUCUUGCAGAAUUACAGGUUGCAGUAAGAUAGAUAAGGUUGGAUCUGGAAUCCAUUUGUAUUUUAGUCCAGGCGCACAUCCACAAUAGCCGUUCAUUUUAGCAAUUCUGCUAUAAAAACUGUCUUAAAUAAACUUUGUCUUUGCAAUUGAGGUCCAUACACAAUAUGUUCGUACUUAAAGUAGGUUACAACUUCAUAUAAUAAAAUAUCAAACGGGGAAUGCAAUAUUUGACAUACAGAUACAUGUAACACAAAUAAUCCAACACUUUUGACUGCA